This 905-nucleotide ribosomal RNA is filed under the name Rhodotorula mucilaginosa. RNAcentral describes it as "LSU rRNA". It matches the Rfam family "Eukaryotic large subunit ribosomal RNA", at positions 38 to 964 of the family's 3401-position model. The record is from RNAcentral. Lineage: Eukaryota; Fungi; Basidiomycota; Microbotryomycetes; Sporidiobolales; Sporidiobolaceae.
GCAUAUCAAUAAGCGGAGGAAAAGAAACUAACAAGGAUUCCCCUAGUAGCGGCGAGCGAAGCGGGAAGAGCUCAAAUUUAUAAUCUGGCACCUUCGGUGUCCGAGUUGUAAUCUCUAGAAAUGUUUUCCGCGUUGGACCGCACACAAGUCUGUUGGAAUACAGCGGCAUAGUGGUGAGACCCCCGUAUAUGGUGCGGACGCCCAGCGCUUUGUGAUACAUUUUCGAAGAGUCGAGUUGUUUGGGAAUGCAGCUCAAAUUGGGUGGUAAAUUCCAUCUAAAGCUAAAUAUUGGCGAGAGACCGAUAGCGAACAAGUACCGUGAGGGAAAGAUGAAAAGCACUUUGGAAAGAGAGUUAACAGUACGUGAAAUUGUUGGAAGGGAAACGCUUGAAGUCAGACUUGCUUGCCGAGCAAUCGGUUUGCAGGCCAGCAUCAGUUUUCCGGGAUGGAUAAUGGUAGAGAGAAGGUAGCAGUUUCGGCUGUGUUAUAGCUCUCUGCUGGAUACAUCUUGGGGGACUGAGGAACGCAGUGUGCCUUUGGCGGGGGUUUCGACCUCUUCACACUUAGGAUGCUGGUGGAAUGGCUUUAAACGACCCGUCUUGAAACACGGACCAAGGAGUCUAACAUGCUUGCGAGUAUUUGGGUGUCAAACCCGGAUGCGUAAUGAAAGUGAAUGGAGGUGGGAACCGCAAGGUGCACCAUCGACCGAUCUGGAUUUUUAAUGAUGGAUUUGAGUAAGAGCACGUAUGUUGGGACCCGAAAGAUGGUGAACUAUGCCUGAAUAGGGCGAAGCCAGAGGAAACUCUGGUGGAGGCUCGUAGCGGUUCUGACGUGCAAAUCGAUCGUCAAAUUUGGGUAUAGGGGCGAAAGACUAAUCGAACCAUCUAGUAGCUGGUUCCUGCCGA